AAUGAACGUUGGCGGUGUGCUUAACACAUGCAAGUCGAGCGAGAAAGUUUCUUCGGAAAUAAGUAGAGCGGCGAACGGGUGAGUAACGCGUGAGGAUCUACCCUUCAGUGAAGGAUACCCUUGAGAAAUUAAGGUUAAUACUGCAUACGUCCCUUUGUAAACAAAAGGGAGAAAGAUGGCCUCUUGCUGUCGCUGAAAGAUGAACUUGCGUUCUAUUAGCUAGUUGGUGGGGUAAAGGCNCACCAAGGCGAUGAUGGAUAGCCGGCCUGAGAGGGUGAACGGCCACAUUGGAACUGAGAAACGGUCCAGACUCCUACGGGAGGCAGCAGUGAGGAAUAUUGCACAAUGGGCGAAAGCCUGAUGCAGCGACACCGCGUGAAGGAUGAAGGUCUUAGGAUU
This 399-nucleotide ribosomal RNA is filed under the name uncultured bacterium. RNAcentral's name for it is "bacterial SSU rRNA". It matches the Rfam family "Bacterial small subunit ribosomal RNA", at positions 29 to 424 of the family's 1533-position model. The record is from RNAcentral.